This 165-nucleotide ribosomal RNA is filed under the name Alangium villosum. RNAcentral's name for it is "5.8S ribosomal RNA". It matches the Rfam family "5.8S ribosomal RNA". Rfam says of the family: 5.8S ribosomal RNA (5.8S rRNA) is a component of the large subunit of the eukaryotic ribosome. It is transcribed by RNA polymerase I as part of the 45S precursor that also contains 18S and 28S rRNA. Lineage: Eukaryota; Viridiplantae; Streptophyta; Magnoliopsida; Cornales; Cornaceae. The record is from RNAcentral.
AAACGACUCUCGACAACGGAUAUCUCGGCUCUCGCAUCGAUGAAGAACGUAGUGAAAUGCGAUACUUGGUGUGAAUUGCAGAUUCCCGUGAACCAUCGAGUCUUUGAACGCAAGUUGCGCCCGAAGCCAUUAGGCCGAGGGCACGCCUGCCUGGGCGUCUCGCAA